AUUGAACGCUGGCGGCAUGCUUUACACAUGCAAGUCGAACGGCAGCACGGACUUCGGUCUGGUGGCGAGUGGCGAACGGGUGAGUAAUACAUCGGAACGUACCCAGUAAUGGGGGAUAACUAGUCGAAAGAUUAGCUAAUACCGCAUACGCCCUACGGGGGAAAGAGGGGGAUCGCAAGACCUCUUGUUAUUGGAGCGGCCGAUGGCUGAUUAGCUAGUUGGUGGGGUAAAGGCCUACCAAGGCGACGAUCAGUAGCGGGCCUUAGAGGACGAUCCGCAACACUGGAACUGAGACACUGUCCAGACUCCUACGGGAGGCAGCAGUGGGGAAUCUUGGACAAUGGGCGAAAGCCUGAUCCAGCAAUGCCGCGUGCGUGAAGAAGGCCUUCGGGUUGUAAAGCGCUUUUGUCUGGGAGCAAAUCCUUGUGGCUAAUACCCACCGGGGAUGAGAGUACCAGAAGAAUAAGGACCGGCUAACUACGUGCCAGCCGCCGCAGUAA
RNAcentral lists this ribosomal RNA (500 nucleotides) under uncultured bacterium. Its description in RNAcentral is "partial 16S ribosomal RNA". It matches the Rfam family "Bacterial small subunit ribosomal RNA", at positions 30 to 523 of the family's 1533-position model. The record is from RNAcentral.